UGGGGAAUAUUGCACAAUGGGCGCAAGCCUGAUGCAGCCAUGCCGCGUGUAUGAAGAAGGCCUUCGGGUUGUAAAGUACUUUCAGCGGGGAGGAAGGUGUUGAGGUUAAUAACCUCAGCAAUUGACGUUACCCGCAGAAGAAGCACCGGCUAACUCCGUGCCAGCAGCCGCGGUAAUACGGAGGGUGCAAGCGUUAAUCGGAAUUACUGGGCGUAAAGCGCACGCAGGCGGUCUGUCAAGUCGGAUGUGAAAUCCCCGGGCUCAACCUGGGAACUGCAUUCGAAACUGGCAGGCUAGAGUCUUGUAGAGGGGGGUAGAAUUCCAGGUGUAGCGGUGUAAUGCGUAGAGAUCUGGAGGAAUACCGGUGGCGAAGGCGGCCCCCUGGACAAAGACUGACGCUCAGGUGCGAAAGCGUGGGGAGCAAACA
This 427-nucleotide ribosomal RNA is filed under the name uncultured bacterium. RNAcentral's name for it is "partial 16S ribosomal RNA". It matches the Rfam family "Bacterial small subunit ribosomal RNA", at positions 355 to 774 of the family's 1533-position model. The record is from RNAcentral.